UCUAACUAUGAAAUCGCUCGCCAUCUCUCCAUACAGGCACGAACCAGACCUCCCCGUCUAUCUCAUGUGUUACGAUCGGAGACGAAGUAAACAACAACAACAAGAACAAUCGUCGAGAAAAACCCACACGUUUCGUUUUAUGGGGGGUCCAAUACGGUGUCCUUCUGUCCGUCAGUCUUUCCCCUCCGCGUGAUCUCUCUGCUGCGGGCACGAUUGCUUGAAAACCAAUGAAUAAGAUGCAGCCCAGUGCUUCCAGAGAGGUACUUGGUGGUGAGCAAGAGGAGAGCACUGUAAGGGGGACUCUUCCUCGACGUGGAAAGAGUCGCGCCACCAUGUGGGAGAAGAUGACGUGGUUCACGCGCCGCUCGCGCCGCGAAUCCAGCGAGACGGCUGCGGCGGCG
Long non-coding RNA from Priapulus caudatus, 401 nucleotides. RefSeq lists it as uncharacterized. Lineage: Eukaryota; Metazoa; Priapulida; Priapulimorpha; Priapulimorphida; Priapulidae. The transcript is spliced from 3 exons. The record is from RefSeq and is a predicted model, not a curated record.